GGACGAACGCUGGCGGCGUGCUUAACACAUGCAAGUCGAACGGAAAGGCUCCAGCUUGCUGGAGUACUCGAGUGGCGAACGGGUGAGUAACACGUGGGUGAUCUGCCCUGCACUUCGGGAUAAGCCUGGGAAACUGGGUCUAAUACCGGAUAGGACCGCACUUUGGUGUGUGUGGUGGAAAGGUUUUUCUGGUGUGGGAUGAGCUCGCGGCCUAUCAGUUUGUUGGUGGGGUAAUGGCCUACCAAGACGGCGACGGGUAGCCGGCCUGAGAGGGUGGACGGUCACAUUGGGACUGAGAUACGGCCCAGACUCCUACGGGAGGCAGCAGUGGGGAAUAUUGCACAAUGAGGGAAACCCUGAUGCAGCGACGCCGCGUGGGGGAUGAAGGCCUUCGGGUUGUAAACUCCUUUCGCUAGGGACGAAGCUUUUUGUGACGGUACCUGGAGAAGAAGCACCGGCUAACUACGUG
Molecule: ribosomal RNA, 469 nt
Filed under: uncultured bacterium
Lineage: Bacteria
Description: partial 16S ribosomal RNA
Rfam family: Bacterial small subunit ribosomal RNA
Source: RNAcentral